GGGGGCGAACUGGCUUCGACGUAUCUGAAGACAGCUCAUGUUGCAUGCCGAGCUUGGCUAACUCGUUAAACUGACCUCUCGCUUAUUAAACGGCGAACCAAUUAACGCACUUGCGGCCUAAUUAACGCCGCAGCGCUUCACGCGGCAAUGCCUGCGGGCUUCGUGAGGCGGCAUCCAGCAGGCUGGCUUGUUCGCGGCUUCCGGUGCGCGAACGGGUGAGAAAACUCAUCGGGAAAACGGAAAAAGCGCUCGCCCGCCGGCAACUUUCUCCGUCAAAUUACGGCGGGAUAAGCAUGUAGAGGCUGGGUGAUUCUCUUUUGCGGACGCGGGUUCAAUUCCCGCCGCCUCCACCA
RNAcentral lists this transfer-messenger RNA (353 nucleotides) under bacterium. Its description in RNAcentral is "GCA-014075295 sp014075295 Standard tmRNA". It matches the Rfam family "transfer-messenger RNA". From Rfam's summary of the family: Bacterial tmRNA, also known as 10Sa RNA or SsrA, is named for its dual tRNA and mRNA-like properties. Its role is to liberate the mRNA from a stalled ribosome. RNAcentral also lists the same sequence under 2 other names. The record is from RNAcentral.